Molecule: ribosomal RNA, 557 nt
Filed under: uncultured bacterium
Lineage: Bacteria
Description: partial 16S ribosomal RNA
Rfam family: Bacterial small subunit ribosomal RNA
Source: RNAcentral
UGGGGAAUAUUGCACAAUGGGCGAAAGCCUGAUGCAGCAAUGCCGCGUGAGGGACGACGGCCUUCGGGUUGUAAACCUCUUUAGCAAGGAAGAAGCGAAAGUGACGGUACUUGCAGAAAAAGCGCCGGCUAACUACGUGCCAGCAGCCGCGGUAAUACGUAGGGCGCAAGCGUUAUCCGGAAUUAUUGGGCGUAAAGAGCUCGUAGGCGGUUUGUCGCGUCUGCUGUGAAAACCCGAGGCUCAACCUCGGGCCUGCAGUGGGUACGGGCAGACUAGAGUGCGGUAGGGGAGAUUGGAACUCCUGGUGUAGCGGUGGAAUGCGCAGAUAUCAGGAAGAACACCGAUGGCGAAGGCAGAUCUCUGGGCCGUAACUGACGCUGAGGAGCGAAAGGGUGGGGAGCAAACAGGCUUAGAUACCCUGGUAGUCCACCCCGUAAACGUUGGGAACUAGUUGUGGGGUCCAUUCCACGGAUUCCGUGACGCAGCUAACGCAUUAAGUUCCCCGCCUGGGGAGUACGGCCGCAAGGCUAAAACUUGAAAGGAAUUGACGGGGUCAU